AUGACGGUUCUGCGACUGCCAGAGAAGCUUUUGAAGGAUAUUGACAAGAACAGACGGCGUUUCCUUUGGGCGCAUGAUGAAGAGCUAUCGGGCGGCAAGUGCAAAAUCAACUGGAAAAUUGUUCGCUCUCCCACUCAAAAAGGCGGGCUAGGCAUAUAGGACCUCCAACUGUUUGGUAGGGCACUGCGCCUCCGAUGGCUCUGGCUGGAGUGGAUGCAGCCUGCCAGGCUAUGGAAAGCUUUCCCACUCCCGUGUGACAGCAAUGACAUGGCCCUCUUCGCUUGAGCCACGAGGAUCACCAUUGGAAACGGGAAGACAACCAAAUUCUGGACAUGCCGCUGGCUGGGAGAGGAACCGCUCCGCCAAACCUUCCCUCUGCCGUUCAAACGAUCCAGGGGCAAGUUCAAAACCGCAUCUAAGGCUCUACAAAAUGAAAACUGGACCCACAACCUUGGUAAUGGGAGAUGGGAAGAUAUAAUCCACGACGUACUGAUGUUGGCGCGCAAGAUCAGGGAGCAUGGUGGCCUGGGGAAUUAG
Molecule: ribosomal RNA, 537 nt
Filed under: Triticum aestivum (bread wheat)
Lineage: Eukaryota; Viridiplantae; Streptophyta; Magnoliopsida; Poales; Poaceae
Description: partial small subunit ribosomal RNA
Source: RNAcentral